This 484-nucleotide long non-coding RNA is filed under the name Gossypium raimondii (Peruvian cotton). RNAcentral describes it as "long non-coding RNA (GRAI_LNC000929)". The record is from RNAcentral. Lineage: Eukaryota; Viridiplantae; Streptophyta; Magnoliopsida; Malvales; Malvaceae.
GCGAUGCUAAGAAAUGUUGUUUAAAAUGGUUUUGUUCGUGAGGAAGAUGAUGACCAGUAACUGAUUCUUAAGGAAAGAGUUAGGUGAUAUUAACAUUUAAUUAACAGUCCAGAUCUACAAAUAUAUGUAAGUUAGGAGGGUUAAAAGUUAGGAAAUGGGGUAAGUAUUAGAACAAUAAAAAUCUGCAAGAGAUAACGUAGGUAGUGGGCUAUUGUUGAGCAGAGAAUGAAUUAAAUUGUUUUAAACAAUAUGUGAUGCGUAUUUGUUCAUGCAAAGCUGAAAAUACCGGAGGAGCAUCAACUAGCAGAGACAAAGGCAAGAAAAAGGUCACAUAAUCGACAUUGUGGUGAACAAGGUGAGUACACUAUAUACUACACUUGAAAACGAGGUCGCGCUCUAUUGAAAGCAAGAAAGACGUGGAAACCUUAUCUUCAUGUUGUGAAUAGAACAUGUGCAUGUGCGAACCUCUUCCAUGCAUUGUGCA